RNAcentral lists this long non-coding RNA (222 nucleotides) under Elaeis guineensis (African oil palm). RNAcentral describes it as "long non-coding RNA (EGUI_LNC038956)". Lineage: Eukaryota; Viridiplantae; Streptophyta; Magnoliopsida; Arecales; Arecaceae. The record is from RNAcentral.
UGCCAUUUUCAUCAUAAAAUUUUUUAAAAUUUUUAUUUUUAAAUUUAAUACCAUGGUCACUUCAUAUAGAAAUAAUUGAUAAAUUUUUUUUAUUCGAAACCUUUUAACAAAACUUAGAGAAAGCUGAAAAUGCUUCAUCCUUAGAAGCUAAAAAUAAAACCCAAGUAAAAUGCAAAAAAUCAUCAAUGAUCACAAAACCAUAUCUUUUUUCUCCUAGACUAG